GCCCUAGUAGCUUAUCCAAAGUGUCAGGCUUUUGACCUGAUGAAAUAUUUAACUGUAUCUUGGGCU
Molecule: transfer RNA, 66 nt
Filed under: Raeta sp.
Lineage: Eukaryota; Metazoa; Mollusca; Bivalvia; Venerida; Anatinellidae
Description: tRNA-Lys
Source: RNAcentral